Molecule: ribosomal RNA, 253 nt
Filed under: uncultured bacterium
Lineage: Bacteria
Description: partial 16S ribosomal RNA
Rfam family: Bacterial small subunit ribosomal RNA
Source: RNAcentral
UACGGAGGGUGCAAGCGUUAAUCGGAAUUACUGGGCGUAAAGCGUACGUAGGUGGUUUGUUAAGUCAGCUGUGAAAUCCCCGGGCUCAACCUGGGCACUGCAGUUGGAACUGGCAAGCUAGAGUAGGGUAGAGGGGUGUGGAAUUCCAGGUGUAGCGGUGAAAUGCGUAGAUAUCUGGAGGAACAUCAGUGGCGAAGGCGACACCCUGGGCUCAUACUGACGCUGAGGUACGAAAGCGUGAGGAGCAAACAGG